This 1175-nucleotide long non-coding RNA is filed under the name Homo sapiens (human). RNAcentral describes it as "HSALNT0190100". The record is from RNAcentral. Lineage: Eukaryota; Metazoa; Chordata; Mammalia; Primates; Hominidae.
CCUAAAGAUGCUGUUCUGGGCACUGUUUUAAAACAUUUUUUUCCGUGAAGUUUUCCUUCCCUCUAUUUCCUUAUAUUUAUGUAUUUGUAAAAUGACAUCAAAGACAGAGCCUUUCUUAGGUCCUAAUCUCUCUACCGAGUGGUAGCGUCUGAAUAACAAAGGGGAGUGGCCAAUGUCUCUUUUAACAAGGAGGAUGUGCUUAUGGCAGGCGCCCCGGGAGCCCAGGGCAGGGCUCAGGCCGGGUAGCCCUGAGAAGCAGGGCCCAUUGAAUAUGUGUGAAAUGCAGAACACUCAGUAAAUGGGCUGUAGUGGAAAUCCCGCAUCUGUGAUACCGGAGGGGUUUGUGUAUUUCUGGCUGCUGGUAGAUAAGAACCAGAAAUUUCUGUGUGCUGAAAACUAGAGCACAGAAAGAUUGGUGCUUGUUAUAUGAGUUUGCUUGGGGACUUCCCCAGCCAGUUCUGUGCUCCUCAAGGCGGGAAACCAUGCUUGCCAAUCUUUUGGACUCAUUUUUAAUCGGCUUGGAAAUUUAAUCAGAAUAAUGCCAGGUAUGGAAACCACCGCCUGGGAUUAAAGCAUCAGUGAAGAUGCUGCUUAGGAGGAAUUCAGAUUUUAGAGAAGAAAGGAGGUCAUGAGAGCUCAUUACUGGAUCACUGAACUGGUGCCUCAGCCAUGAACCUGGUGAAGAAUGAGAAAAGAAAUCUUUCUUCCCCUACAGAAACAACUCUUGUACCAAUUCAUGUGGUGAGGUGUGGAGGAGACCCAGAUGUGCCCAGGUACCUCUCCCAGCCCCAGGAGGGGUAGUGAAAGGGACUGGACAAGAUCCAAACAAGCCUGCUUUAGAACCCAGCAAGACACGAGGAAGGUGACCUCCAGCAGCUGGUUGAAGGAUGUGGCAGAGCUUGAGUGAGUAGCCAGGGAGAAUCACCAGGCCAUUGUGGAGAUGCAAGGGGCCAGUCUGGCCCAGUCCAGCCCAGCCCAGCUUCUGCAGGAGACACUAACACUCCUCCAGAUAUUGGCUGCUCCAUGAGGGUCACUCUCCAGGAGCAGCCCAGUCUAGGCAUUUUGCUGCAAGGGAUGCCAUGUGGAAUCAAGGACCUUUCCCUUCCUUGAACAUCAUCUUGGGGAAGAGAAGGAAGGAAGGAAGGAAGGAAGAUCAGGCAUCUGAAAGACUGAAU